AGUCCUCUUACUUGAGGAAUAGUUACUGUUAUCUUAAGAUCACGGAUAUAAUGGGUUAUAUCUGUUUGGCUGCAUAAAAGGGUGAGAUCUCUUUCUGUCUCAGCAAUCUCUUUAGCAUUGUGAUGGGUAUCACAUUCUGGUUCAGUGCUUAUUAAAUAAUAAAACUGUUUUCUCUCUUUCCUGUGUUUUGUGGAGAGGCCUUUCUGAGUUGGCAGGAGAUUUUGUUUUUCAUUAACUACCACCACAGAUUUGGAAAUGAGGAUAAGACUUCUGGAAGUUCCUAAAUUGAGUGAAUGUGCAGAAGUUCUGUGGACCCACAAGACUCAAGAAACCGCUUGCUUCAAAGAUCCAUCCUCCAUAUCACUUAGAGCGAUGGACUGAAAGUAUUAGGAAGCCAUGAGUCAGUGAUCUUUCAAGCAGAACAAAUUUCCAGAGAAACACCUACUCAAUGCAGGCAAUAUCCUGUUUGAGAUCCUAAAAUAAGGGGGAAGAGUUCCCAAGUUUCUUUUGAAAUUACCGGUCUCCUACUCUUAAACCCGACCCACAGCAAUGAGAGUUCUGGCCCAAGAUGGCAACACAGAAAGACUCUGAACUCACCUUCUCCUUGGAGACACCUAAUCUACACCUACUUAUAGAACGUUUCCUUCCUAGGCAGAACUAAGAGUUGACUGAACAUCUUCUGCAUAACAAAAGACCACAAAGAGAAUGGCAAGAGAGAAGAAGAGAGGCAGUCUAUUGUUUGUGUGCUGAGAGGGACACUGUAGUGUUGGUGGGGAGGGAAGGGGAGGGAAAACACGAAACUAUAGUAUAAUGUAGUAUGUCUGUGUGGAGAAGGGAAGGGAGACCGUAACGUUUGUGCAUAGAGAAGGGAAGGCAGGAGAUGCAGUACGUGUGGCGGCGGAGGGUGGUAAAGAAAGUUCGUGUAUAGGAUGUAUGUUGGGGGCAAUAAGCGACAGUAUAAUGUGUGUAUACGUGGAAAGAAGGGCCAGGAGCAGACAAUGUAGUGUGUAAGUGUGGAGGGGGAAAGAGAAGGGAUAGUGGAGUGGGGGGGAGCAGAGAAAGAAGGAAAGGGAUACUGUGGUGUCUUGUGUGUAUAUAGGAAAGGAGAGAAGUGACUAAAUAGGGUAGUGUGUGGUUUGGGGAAGGAACAGUGUAUGUAUGUGUGGUUAAGGAAAAGGGAACAGAAUGGAUGGGGGAGCGUGUGUAUGUGUCUGUAGGAAAGGGAUAGCAUAGUGGUACGUGUGUGAAGAAGGGGAAUCGCAGGGAAGGGACAAUGUAAAUGUGUGUGCAAAGGAAAGGAGGGGCGUGGAAUGCACAAUUUAGUGGGGGGGGUAGGGAUACUGCAGUUUGGGUGAGGGAAAAUGGAAAAAGUACAGUGUAGUGUGUGUGCAGAGAAGGGAAGGAGUAGUGGGGAGUGUGUGUUGUGCGGAAGAAGGGAGGAAAGGAAAGCUAGAGUAUAGUGUCUGUGUAGAAAACAGAAGGUGACACACGAGAGGGAAGGAAUAGCACAGUCUCGUGUAUGUGGGGAAGGGAAAAAUGGGAAGAGAGAGUAGUUCGUGUGGAGAAGAGAAGGGAAGGGAGAAGAACAGCGUAGUGUGUAUGUGUGGGUGGAUGUGGAGAAAAGGUGGGAAGGGAAGACAAGUUAGAAUAUGUGUGUAGGAAAAAAGGAACAUAAAGACAGCGAACGGAGGGGAUAAUGUAGUGCGUGGAGGUGGGAACGGAUAGUGUAGUGCCUGACUGUGGAAAGGAAGGGACUGGGUAGUGUGCGGGGGAGAAGGAGGGAGGAGUAAAACACGUACAUGGAGGAUAGUGUGGUGUGGGGAGGGGAGGGGAAGGGAGAGAACAGAGUAGUGUGGGUGAGAGGGAAUGGAAGGGGAAACGGGAAAGGACAGUGCCCUUGUGUGUUAGGAUGAGGGGUGGGAGGAAGGGGAACAUAGUGUAGGGUGUGCAUGUUGAAUGGAAGGGAAGGAGACAGGAA
This is a long non-coding RNA of Leopardus geoffroyi (Geoffroy's cat), 1978 nucleotides long. RefSeq lists it as uncharacterized. Lineage: Eukaryota; Metazoa; Chordata; Mammalia; Carnivora; Felidae. The record is from RefSeq and is a predicted model, not a curated record. The transcript has 3 exons.